This 324-nucleotide ribosomal RNA is filed under the name uncultured eukaryote. Its description in RNAcentral is "partial 18S ribosomal RNA". It matches the Rfam family "Eukaryotic small subunit ribosomal RNA", at positions 1470 to 1796 of the family's 1831-position model. The record is from RNAcentral.
CCCUUAGAUGUUCUGGGCUGCACGCGCGCUACACUGAAGCUAUCAACACGUUUUCCCUCCCUGAGAAGGGCGGGUAACCUUUUGAAUCAGCUUCGUGGUAGGGAUCGGGGCUUGCAAUUGUUCCCCGUGAGCCAGGAAUUCCUAGUAGACGCGAGUCAUAAGCUCGCAUCGAUUAAGUCCCUGCCCUUUGUACACACCGCCCGUCGCUACUACCGAUUGAACGUUUUAGUGAGGCAUUUGGACCGACGCAUCUCAGUUUAACCGCUGGUUUGUGUUGGAAAGACUUCCAAACUUGAGCGUUUAGAGGAAGUAAAAGUCGUAACA